CCUACGGGGGGCAGCAGUGGGGGAUAUUGCACAAUGGGGGGAACCCUGAUGCAGCGACGCCGCGUGGGUGAAGAAGCACCUCGGCGCGUAAAGCCCUGUCAGCAGGGAAGAAAAUGACGGUACCUGAAGAAGAAGCCCCGGCUAACUACGUGCCAGCAGCCGCGGUAAUACGUAGGGGGCAAGCGUUAUCCGGAUUUACUGGGUGUAAAGGGGGCGCAGACGGGAAGACAAGUCAGAUGUGAAAUCCCGCGGCUCAACCGCGGAACUGCAUUUGAAACUGUUUUUCUUGAGUAUCGGAGAGGUAAUCGGAAUUCCUAGUGUAGCGGUGAAAUGCGUAGAUAUUAGGAAGAACACCAGUGGCGAAGGCGGAUUACUGGACGACAACUGACGGUGAGGCGCGAAAGCGUGGGGAGCAAACAGGAUUAGAUACCCGGGUAGUC
RNAcentral lists this ribosomal RNA (440 nucleotides) under uncultured bacterium. Its description in RNAcentral is "partial 16S ribosomal RNA". It matches the Rfam family "Bacterial small subunit ribosomal RNA", at positions 338 to 795 of the family's 1533-position model. The record is from RNAcentral.